RNAcentral lists this ribosomal RNA (252 nucleotides) under uncultured bacterium. Its description in RNAcentral is "partial 16S ribosomal RNA". It matches the Rfam family "Bacterial small subunit ribosomal RNA", at positions 524 to 776 of the family's 1533-position model. The record is from RNAcentral.
UACGGAGGAUGCGAGCGUUAUCCGGAUUUAUUGGGUUUAAAGGGUGCGUAGGCGGGAUGCCAAGUCAGCGGUAAAAAUGCGGUGCUCAACGCCGUCGAGCCGUUGAAACUGGCGUUCUUGAGUGGGCGAGAAGUAAGCGGAAUGCGUGGUGUAGCGGUGAAAUGCAUAGAUAUCACGCAGAACUCCGAUUGCGAAGGCAGCAUACCGGCGCCCUACUGACGCUGAGGCACGAAAGCGUGGGUAUCGAACAGG